GUGCCAGCCGCCGCGGUAAUACGUAGGUGGCAAGCGUUGUCCGGAAUUACUGGGCGUAAAGGGCGUGUAGGCUGUUAGGUAAGUCAGAGGUGAAAUCCCUAAGCUCAACUUAGGAACUGCCUUUGAUACUAUCUUACUAGAGAUCGAGAGAAGUUGGCGGAAUUCCAAGUGUAGAGGUGAAAUUCGUAGAUAUUUGGAAGAACACCAGUGGCGAAAGCGGCCAACUGGCUCGUAUCUGACGCUGAGACGCGAAAGCGUGGGUAGCAAACAGGAUUAGAUACCCUGGUAGUCCACGCCGUAAACGAUGUGUGCUAGCCGUUUGUGAUUUAUCACAAGUGGUGCAGCUAACGCGUUAAGCACACCGCCUGGGGAGUACGAUCGCAAGAUUAAAACUCAAAGGAAUUGACGG
This 409-nucleotide ribosomal RNA is filed under the name uncultured bacterium. RNAcentral describes it as "bacterial SSU rRNA". It matches the Rfam family "Bacterial small subunit ribosomal RNA", at positions 505 to 916 of the family's 1533-position model. The record is from RNAcentral.